AGGUAUAAAGAUACUUACUAGCUGCUUGUGGCAAGUUAUCCUUGUUACGAAACCUACUGCCGUGAAGAUCGGACCAUCCAAAGGACCUUUCUUGUAAUGGUCCAUAUCAUGUGGUAAUUAGAGCUAUCAUUGUCAUGGUACCUAUUGUUAUCACCCACAUAUUUAUCCUUUACCAUCUGCUACUGUUAUUGUUCAUGUCCUACAGACCACUAAAAAGCCACAAAAAAAUCCCAUAGCCUUUUCAUGGUACUAUUGCUUUGUGUGUUGCAUUCAUCUUGUUGCUAGUCACCGUUGUUGUUCUUCCGCUGUACUUUACUUUUUUUUCUGCACCCCUCGUAUGCUAUCUUGUGUUUGGUGUUUCCAAAAAAUAUCAGAAAAAAAGUGUGAAAGAAAGAGUCAAAAAAAAG
This 407-nucleotide long non-coding RNA is filed under the name Setaria viridis. RNAcentral's name for it is "long non-coding RNA (SVIR_LNC003161)". Lineage: Eukaryota; Viridiplantae; Streptophyta; Magnoliopsida; Poales; Poaceae. The record is from RNAcentral.